GGACCCGCACAAGCGGUGGAGCAUGUUCUUUAAUUCGAUGAUAACCGAAGAACCUUACCAGGGUUUGACAUCCCGAGAAUUUCUGUGAAAGCAGAGAGUGCUUUAUUGAGCUCGGUGACAGGUGUUGCAU
Molecule: ribosomal RNA, 130 nt
Filed under: uncultured bacterium
Lineage: Bacteria
Description: partial 16S ribosomal RNA
Rfam family: Bacterial small subunit ribosomal RNA
Source: RNAcentral